RNAcentral lists this ribosomal RNA (495 nucleotides) under uncultured bacterium. RNAcentral's name for it is "partial 16S ribosomal RNA". It matches the Rfam family "Bacterial small subunit ribosomal RNA", at positions 28 to 523 of the family's 1533-position model. The record is from RNAcentral.
GAUGAACGCUGGCGGCGUGCCUAACACAUGCAAGUCGGACGAAGCACUUUAGCUUGAUUCUUCGGAUGAAGGCUAUUGUGACUGAGUGGCGGACGGGUGAGUAACGCGUGGGUAACCUGCCUCAUACAGGGGGAUAACAGUUAGAAAUGACUGCUAAUACCGCAUAAGACCACGGAGUCGCAUGACUCAGUGGGAAAAACUCUGGUGGUAUGAGAUGGACCCGCGUCUGAUUAGGUAGUUGGUGGGGUAACGGCCUACCAAGCCGACGAUCAGUAGCCGACCUGAGAGGGUGACCGGCCACAUUGGGACUGAGACACGGCCCAAACUCCUACGGGAGGCAGCAGUGGGGAAUAUUGCACAAUGGGGGAAACCCUGAUGCAGCGACGCCGCGUGAGCGAAGAAGUAUUUCGGUAUGUAAAGCUCUAUCAGCAGGGAAGAAAAUGACGGUACCUGACUAAGAAGCACCGGCUAAAUACGUGCCAGCCGCCGCGGUAA